AUGCGCCAGCUAAGGCUCGUCACCAACAUGAGGGCUCAUAAUGACACCUGGUUUGCCGAUUACUUGCUAAGGGUAGGCAAUGGCACUGAGGAAGUUGACGAUCAAGGAAACAUGCGACUCCCUGAAGAUAUUUGUGUGUCGUCUACAGGCGAGGGUGACGACCUAGAGAAGCUGAUUGACCAUGUGUUUUCGAGACUAGAUGACAACCAGUCCGAUCCGAAUUACAUGACUUCACGCGCAAUCCUCUCCACCACGAACGACAACGCCGACAAGAUAAACAUACGCAUGGUAGAGCGUUUUCGGGGAGAAGAAGUAAUCUAUCAUAGCUUUGACAGUGCAUAA
This 342-nucleotide ribosomal RNA is filed under the name Triticum aestivum (bread wheat). RNAcentral's name for it is "partial small subunit ribosomal RNA". The record is from RNAcentral. Lineage: Eukaryota; Viridiplantae; Streptophyta; Magnoliopsida; Poales; Poaceae.